Molecule: unclassified non-coding RNA, 200 nt
Filed under: soil metagenome
Description: partial contains internal transcribed spacer 2 and large subunit ribosomal RNA
Source: RNAcentral
GUUCGAGCGUCAUUAUAACCACUCAAGCCUGGCUUGGUAUUGGGGUCUUCGCGUGCUCGCGGCCCUUAAAAUCAGUGGCGGUGCGUCUGGCUCUAAGCGCAGUAAUUUCUCUCGCUAUAGGGUUCCGGUGGUUACUUGCCAAAACCCCCCAUUUUUUCUAGGUUGACCUCGGAUCAGGUAGGGAUACCCGCUGAACUUAA